Molecule: ribosomal RNA, 803 nt
Filed under: uncultured Bacteroidota bacterium
Lineage: Bacteria; Pseudomonadati; Bacteroidota
Description: bacterial SSU rRNA
Rfam family: Bacterial small subunit ribosomal RNA
Source: RNAcentral
AGGGAGUUUGAUCCUGGCUCAGGAUGAACGCUAGCUACAGGCUUAACACAUGCAAGUCGAGGGGCAUCAUGGGAGGACUUCGGUCCUUUUGAUGGCGACCGGCGAAUGGGUGAGUAACACGUAUCCGACCUGCCCUGUACUGGAGGAUAGCCUCCCGAAAGGGAAAUUAAUACUCCAUGUGUCAAAUGUCCGCAUGGUCGUUUGAUGAAAGAUUUAUCGGUACAGGAUGGGGAUGCGUUCCAUUAGCCAGCCGGCGGGGUAACGGCCCACCGGGGCGACGAUGGAUAGGGGUUCUGAGAGGAAGGUCCCCCACACUGGAACUGAGACACGGUCCAGACUCCUACGGGAGGCAGCAGUGAGGAAUAUUGGUCAAUGGCCGCAAGGCUGAACCAGCCAAGUAGCGUGCGGGAGGACGGCCCUAUGGGUUGUAAACCGCUUUUAUACGGGGGUAAAACGCGCCACGUGUGGUGUCUUGCAAGUACCGUAAGAAAAAGGACCGGCUAAUUCCGUGCCAGCAGCCGCGGUAAUACGGAAGGUCCGAGCGUUAUCCGGAUUUAUUGGGUUUAAAGGGAGCGUAGGCGGGAUGCCAAGUCAGUUGUGAAAGUCCGCGGCUCAACCGUGGAAUUGCAGUUGAAACUGGUAUUCUUGAGUGUACAUAACGAAGGUGGAAUUUGUGGUGUAGCGGUGAAAUGCUUAGAUAUCACGAAGAACUCCGAUUGCGAAGGCAGCCUUCGGGGGUACUACUGACGCUGAGGCUCGAAAGUGCGGGAAUCAAACAGGAUUAGAUACCCUGGUAGUCCCCU